CAUUAACAUAUUACUUUAUUUUUAGAAAUGUCAUUUUAAUGAAAACAUAAAAAUACAGUAUAUUCUGUAUUUUAUAUACACACGUAUAUCACUGGACACUUCAUAUAUAAGGUGUUAGUGUGUAUGUGUUUAUGCACCACCAGUCCUAAGUUUAUACACACCUUUCCUGUACAUUUGAUUGGGAAAGGUGUAUUUAAUCUUGGGACUGGCGGUGCAUGUUUGUAUAGGUAAAAACCAGGUAUACCUCGUGGCCAGUGGGUGUAUACUUGAUGGCUGUACAUAUUUACGUGGACAACGACUAUUAUCAAGGGUUUCUUAUUUGUCAGAUGCCUAACACACUGAACACUCAAAUGAUGUCUAUAGUACCAGGGUCUGAAAUCUAACUUUUUAUUACCUUUGUGAUCAUUAACCCAAUGAUGGCAAUAAAAUGAAAUUUAGUUUUUUAAUUUACUAAAAAUGGUCUGACAGACCUUUGUUGUUGUUUUUAUCUUUUUCUGCCUUAGAUAAAGUUGCAGUCCGCAAGAUUAAAACAGAAGAGGAUAGUUACGCUUCUGACUAUGCAGACUUAUGAAGAGAUCACAACAUUUCUGGGCUCAUGGGGACAUUUCCAGCAGAGUGUCUUCUUCAUGCUCUGUCCUACCAUCUUGCCAAAUGGAUUUGGUGUUUUUUUUUUCUCUUGUCUUCCUGAUUGACAUUCACCCUCACCUCUGCAUGGUUCCAGAGGACAACUUGACCCAAAAAUGGCACAAAGCUGCCAUCCCAGUAGAGGUGGUGAAUGGGGAAGAGGAGCUGAGCAAAUGGUCCAGAUACAGACUGGAUGUGGUCAGAAAUCUCUUUGCUCAGGGUCACAUUCCGGGCAGGGACAUUAACCUCACCGACCUGGAACGGGAGGGCUGUGUGGACGGCUGGAGCUACAGCAAGGCCAUCUACCAGUCCACCAUAGUGACUGAGGCAGGUGAGCAACAAGGUAAGGAGAGCUAUGAUAUCUUCAAACUGCUGAGGACUAAAAACAUUCUGAACACCACUACCACUCUGGGCCUGCUGUGGUGAGUUUUGAGUCAGAGCAGGUCAAUCAGACAUUUUGAUCACAAAUUACGGUAACAUUUCUGCACUAUGUUCUUAAAACAAAUGUUUAAUAAAUUCACCCUCUUAUAUGGUGUAUCCAGAUUCAGUAUGUGUACUGGCAAUUUAGGCUUGUCCCUUAACCAGCCUAGUUUUCACACUAAUCCCUAUAUCAGCUGAUUCAUCUCAGCAGCUGUAGAGGUCCCAGCAUAUAUUUCCAGCUGGCUGGCUCUGCGCAGCCUUCCACAACGAAAAACUGCCAUAUCUAUUUUGCUCUUUGUAGGAGUGUUGCUGUUUAUUAUACAUUUGGUUUCUGAAAGUAAGCAAACAAGAAGAAAAACCUAUGACCAUUUGCAUGCACUCAGUUUUCAAGUUUGUCUCCUCAUCCGUCACAGAAAUUGCAUGCGCUGCUGGCCCCUCUUUACAAGGGAGCCAGUGUGGUUUGACCAGGUGAGUCAGUUAUCAGCGGUCCCAGGAACCUGAUGCUGCUGACGAGCUCGACUGCAGAGUUGUUUAUGGUGAGAAGAGUGUGGCUGGUCUGGUUCUUCCUGAAGUCCACGAUGAGAAAUACUAGUUACUAGUCUACUACUUCUUAACAGGCAGCAUAACCCUCAAUUAAGUUUAAAGAAAAAAAAAACUGAUAAAAUACAAUAAAGACAAUAACACUUGCUUAUUUUCGGACUGCUGCAUGUUGUUGGAGACGUGGACGAUGUACAAAGCUGAACGGCCAUUUACUCCCACAGGAAGGAAACACCUGGGUCAAUGGGAGUGGCACUUCUGCGCCGGGAUGACGCAAUGCCUCGGCCAAUGGCGUUGACUGUAUUUUCUUCUACAGUUCAGUUUAACGCACUUGAAUUAUUUUUUUUAGUACAUUUUUUUAGUACAAAAUAUAACUUUUAUUCAGAAAUUAAUUAAAAUGUGUUCAUACUAACAACAAUGAUAAUACUUCAUGUCAAUUCCUUGCACCUGUAGACAUUGAAAAAAGUGAGCUAUCCCAACGUUCGUCUUCAACUGCAAAUUGAUGUCGAAACGCCGUCAUAAAUAGAAGUCCAAAUAGUUUACCUAUUUUGCAGGUGGAGAAAAAGUCCAUAAUCUUGGACUGACUGACGCUGAACGUCCAUAAGACGUCUAAUAUUUAGUGGGUAACUUAUCCAGAAGCACCAAUAUUGCAAGGCUGGAUAGAGGACAUGUCGCAAUAAGCUUUGGCAUUCCAAAAAUAUUUACACAGGAAUGAUGCGCUCGCGCCUUUCGUGGUGACUACACCACCUCCUUGGAACUAUAACUGCAGCCAUUUGUGCAUAUUGUGGCAGUUAACACCUGUCUUUCAGGCGUGCUAAAUAUGGAUGCAGAAACAGCCAUUGCAGUCAGUUUCAGGUUUGGUAAAUCACAUUGCGUGAGCUACAUUGAUGUAUUUGCAUAUACUCUGCAAUAUUUUGCACAUUCUGGCAGGAACGCACAUAUUCCAUAUUGCACGCAUUACAGUUGCAAUUCUCAUGUGGUGCUGCAGCACAUUUUUGCACGUUUGCACACUGUGGCAGGGUGGAGGAUUGGGCGUGGUCUGCGGGGAGCAGCACACAGGUGGCGCUUGGUUCAGCUCAUUGGGCACACCUGUGCCCAAUCAAUCUCUCCACCCUGCCUGGCUAUUUAAAGAGCGGCUGCUCGGCUCAGAGGGACACAGAGCUACUGAGUGUGCUGAUACUCGUCUGUGUCUGGCUGAAAUAAAGAAUCACAAUUUUCCCCCGAAACCCCGUGUCCUCUAUCCUGUCUGGUGACCCCCGGUAGCACGAGAUUGCUACACACACGUUUUUACACACGCACAUUUCUAGUAAAUCUGAGCCUUGGUGGGUUACAGUAGUGGUAAUAACGUUUUUGUGAUAAAAGUGGUUUAUUUUUUUCCUUUUUUUUUGUCAUUGUAGAAUCAAAAUUGUAUCAGAUUUAAGAAUGACUUAACAAAACUGCAAUUUAUUUAAAAAAAAAACAUACUUUUAAUAUCUUUUUCAAAGUUUAUUUUAUUAUCAUUAUCAAGGGGUUUUUAAAUCACAAACAUGAAAUAAAGUGAAUUAUGAAAGUGUAGAUAUCCCAAGAUAAAAAGGCUAGUGCUUUAUAUGUGACCUGUAAUAAAAUAAAAACCUUUUUCAAUGUACUGAACUGUGUCAACACACACACACACACACACACACACACACUAAAAAAAUACAGAAAGUGGUACAGUAAAUAUCCUUCUUUUCACAGUAUUUUGAAUGUGUGGCAGGAAAAAAAACACUAUUCCUUUGUUAAAAACUUUAUAAACUAAUAUUCCCACUGCGCUGUUGUAGACACACGAUAUUCACAUAUCCAGUUGUAUUUUAACAAUGUGUUUAGUUAUUUCUGUACAGUUUAAUUUCACUGAAAAGUUCGCAGGGAUCAUCUGGCCUGCCAGUUGUUACAGGUGAAGCUUGUGCACUGACUCUUGCGCUCAGGUUUUUCCUUCAGCAGCGUUUUCCUCUUCCUCUGUGUGUGUGAGAUUAUAAGGUGUUUUCCGACAGCAUCUUGAGAAACAAAAAAACAGAGAUCCAUUAACAGUAAUAUUUCACUGAACCUUGACUGGAGGUCAGACAGGCUUCUCCAUGAACUAUGAUGUGUGCAGAUGACCUUGUGAUCUUUAGUGAGUAGGGAGCUGGAGGAACAGAACCUUGAGAGGUAGGGAUAUGCUUUAAGAGAGAAGACGAAUGAAGGUGAGUUGCAGCAACACAGAACACGUCUAAAUGAAGGAAAGCAGGUAGAAUGGUGAGGAGUUGAGGUUGAAAAGGAUGCAGUAGCUUAUAUACUUACCCUCAACUGUUGAGCGCAGUAGGAAGUGUGCAAAAGAGCUAAAUAAGUGAGUGGACACAGUGGACUAAGUGUAGAUGGGUGUCUUUGGUAAUUGAUGAUAGAAAAGUGACAAUGAAGGUAAAGUUUUACAAAACAGCACCACUUACCAAGAGACAAGAGUAGGAGCUGGAGAUCACUGACUAAUUUGUGAGUGAGAGGGAUGAACAGCAUUAAGAAAGGGCACAUAAAAUGAACAGUGAGGAUUAGAAGUCUGGGACAUAAAGUAAGAGGGGCUUGAUUGACAUGGUUUUGAAAAUGUAAAGAGGGUGGAUGGUGAAUAAAUCAGUAGAAGGAUCCUACGGUGGAGCUAAGCAGAAGAAAAAAAGGGGGAAACCCCUUUUUGAGGUGGAACAAACUGUCCAGUUAGCUGGUGUGACAGAGAAAAAUGCAGGAGACAAGGAAAGAUGAAAAGAAAUGAUCCUCUGUGACAAACGCUUCACUGCAAAAACAGCCCCUUUAGAAAUAAGCCUCAUAUUUCAUAAAUAUAGUCAAAAUUGUCUUUUUUUAUUAUUUCUUGUAGUUCUCUUGCUGCAUUAGAGGGAAAGGUUAAAAGCAGAAAAAAUGUAUUUGUAACGAAUAUAAAAUCCCACUACAUUGACGAAAAUAUAUUUUUUUACAUUCAUUUGAAUGUCUUAUCAUGUUUUGUUUUUUGUUUUGUUUCUUCUUCUCAAAGUAUAAAACAGAUCACAAAGAUAGCUUUCUUUUAUUUACGUUAUAUUAGGAAAAUUGCAAGCAUCCUGACCCAAGAGGAUGCAGAAAAAUUGAUACAUGCCUUUGAUACCUCGGGUCUGGAAUAUCGUAAUGCAUUGCCUUCUUGCUGUACAAACAGUUGUGUUAAAAUCCCCUUAUUGGUCCAAAAUGCUGCAGCACAAGUACUAACUAUAGAACUGGGAACUGUAGUCUCUUAGACCAUCUCUUAGUGUUGCUGCUAAAGGGCCUUGGUUGCUGGAGGUACUCCCGAUGUGCAUUGAGCAUCUUCACCCUGUCCCUCUUAUCUCAGUUUAAGAUUGUCCUGGAUCAUUUAAUAUCAUUAACAUGUCUUUCUUCUGUCUGUUUCCCAUCUCUUUCUGCAGGUCCCACCGGGGUGAUGCUGGUUCCUGCUACAACUGCUGUUCCUGUUUUUUCCCUGUAAUUCUUUAUGACGCACAGCAUUGUAGUGCAGUUAGGAGUGACACUUUACAGCAAGAAGGUUCAACUGGACGUUGGUUCACCCGGGUCUGUCUGUGUGGGUUUUCUCCGGGUACUCUGGUUUGCUCCCACUCCAAAAACAUGUCGCUUGGGCUAACUGGUACUACUAGGCCUAGGCUUUAUUCACAUUAACUAUGAUGCCAUUUGAUGUAUUGGAGUAAUCAUAAGGAUAAUAUGAAUAAUUAUAGGAAUCAUUUGAUCUAAUAAAUAAAUCGAUCUAAGAAAUGUGUGUGUUUGGCAGUGAGAAAGCUGUUUUAAUUGGUCUUUGGAAUAGAAAGUACCAAUUGGGGUGCUGCUGCGUUCCCAGAUGUCUAUAUGA
This is a long non-coding RNA of Cololabis saira (Pacific saury), 5419 nucleotides long. RefSeq lists it as uncharacterized. The transcript has 3 exons. The record is from RefSeq and is a predicted model, not a curated record. Lineage: Eukaryota; Metazoa; Chordata; Actinopteri; Beloniformes; Belonidae.